AUUCAGCCACGCAAAUAGUUUGUUUUAUUUGCCCAGUUUUUGACAUGUUUGUGUCUCUUUUCCAUCAAUGCAACAGAAGUAAAAGGAAUUUGAUUUAUUGCCUGGGUCUUCAACAAGGGAUUCGCGACCCCUGUGUGGUCCUCAGUGCCUGCAGGGGUGCCGUCAAAUUGUUUGUUAAUUUACAGUACACAACAGUAACGAUAGGCUGACUGUUAACCAUGACUCAUUGUAUUAUCCAGUGUAUUGGUGCAAGGUUGAACUAUCAACUGGGGAAAGCAGGAAACUGCACAAAAAAUUAAAGGGACAGCUCACCCCCAAAUCAAAAAUACAUAGUUCCUCUUACCUGUGCGGCUACCAAUAAGUCUAGAUUGUUUUGAUGUGAGUUGCUGAGCGUUGGCGAUUUCAGCUGCGCUAACAAGACAGCUCUGUCAAGGAGGAUGCCAUUCAUCUUUACAUCUCGUGCUGUCACAAGCGGAGGCCGCUGAGUAGCUUCUUUCUGCGCAGUGAUACAACUGGUGGGUGAUGUUUGGUAGAAAGAAAAUACACAUGAACCUGCUCACAACAAGGUAUGUAGAUUAUCUUGAGUAACCAGGUUAUAAUUUCUGGAAAGAGACAUUGCUGUUAAUUGCUUCAAGAUGAUUUUGUAUGUAUGUAUGUUUUUCAGGACUUUGAGCACCACAAGCUGAGUGCCAUGUAGUUCCAUUAUACUGGAGAGGAGGCAGACGUCUCUACGGCUGAUAUCUCCAACACAACAGAAUAAUCUAGACUGAUAAAUAGCACUGCAGGUAAGAGGAAGAAUAUGUAUUUUUGAUUUUGGGGUGAACUGUCCCUUUAAGGUUUGAGUUGUAUGUUUAUUUAAAAUGUGUUGGAGAAUUUGCACCACUUUUAGCAGAAUAUCAACCAAGGCAGACUCUGCAUAAUAACCUUGUCUUGCUCUGUCUGAUGCAGCUGUUCUGUGUCAAAAUCAAGUAUCGCAUUAAAUUCAACAUGUAGUUUAUAUUGUGCUGACAUGGUGUGUAUUCCCAAAUGUAUCAACUUUUUAUUACAUAAGUUUAUUUGACGAGGUCAGUGAUAACAGAAAAAAAGAACUGAAUGAGCCACAGUAUGUCUAAAAGGUACAUUUUCAUGUGUUGUCCCUGGACAGGUGUUCAUCCUAAAGAUAGGAUAAAACGACUUCAGAUACAAUUCAUAUACACAACAUACUAAAUAUGCACAGAGCCCCAGACAUCACAAAGCAGUCAGCUACAGUUCAAAUAUAAUAAUCAAGAAAAAAAGUUGUUUUCAUGUGGAGCUGGAGACUUUUAAUAGUACCAAGGUUUCUACAGAAAAUAGACCACCUCCUUCUCCAAACUGAAGAUGAGAUGGGGUGUUGUGGUGUGGCGUGUGGACCUAAACACAGUGGGAUUCAUGAGCCUCAGCUAUAAUGCAAUCAAGGCUAUUAAUUAAUCUACAUCUGUAAAGGAGCCCUGAGGGCCCUCCGACCCAAACCACUUGUUCAAAAAGCUGCCACGUGUGUGUCGCCACUGUCUCUCUGCUUUCCCACGGUCGCCUGGCAACAUCAAAGGGUUUCCACGAGCAAAUGUCGAACAACUGUGGCGCUAAACGGCGCGCCAGCACGAGACAGCUGCCCAAAUGGCACGCGUGGUCUAUUGUGACACGGAGGUGUGAAUAGAGAAUGGUAACCACUGCUGCACCUUCACCCUGCGGACUGACUAACAAAUGCAAAGGCGUCAAAAGUGUGAAUGGCAAAGUGUCAGCACUCACCGUAAGUGAGCGCGCAGUUUAUAGAAGGGAGGAAGAAAGGAAGAAAGGAUAUUUAGUAGAAACAUAACCACUCAAAAGUGAUGUUGGUGAACCACAUCUCAACAAUGAUUUUGACAAAAGAAUACACAAGGGUAUCAUUUCUCAGUUUCGUACCAGAAACGCCAUCAUGGACAGAAGAUGUCACAGGUUGUGGAGCAUUAGUAAACCAGCUGCACAGAUGGAUAGAAGUGCAAACUCAUCCAGUGACUCGCACCUCACGGCGCACACGCUCUCAGAGGCGCAGCUGCACUGACUUUACUGCAUCCAAGUGGUUUCAUUGUCCAGCCCUGAAACAUUUUAGGCGACUGAUCUCACAGGAUAACUCUAAACAAAUCCAUCUGGAAUACAUUAGGGGAUAUAAAUACAAUGAAAGUGCAAAAACAUCCCAAUAUACCCGCACUACAGUGUGGUGAAAAACUAAAAUUAUUCAUUUUAAUGUUGUGAAUUCGUCCUCCAUGUACAGUUCUUGUAAAGGUUUGUAAAUUAUUUUUUCACCUCUUGGUGUGCUUGUUUUUGUAAUGCAAAAAACAAUGCUCACAUUCUUAUGAAUCACUGGCGUGUGGGGAGACAGUAAGGCAAGGUUGCCAAUUACAAGGUACUUGCUUUUUCAUGUUAAACAACACUGAUUUCAUUCCAAAUAAAACAAAUCUUGACUUAAGUUUUUUAGAUUUUAAGGAAUCAUCUCAAAUUCUGUAUGUUCCGUGGUUUUACGCAUGGGUUUACGCACGGUUUUACGCGUAAUAUGUAAGGUUUUAUGCCAUCUUGUCUUUUUAUUUGUCUUUUUUACUUGUAUUUUAAGUACAAGCUCGUUUGUUGUAUGAUGGUUAGAUAAAGACCUUAGAUCAUUAAAUUGUCAGAGUUUAAAGUAGCGUGAAUUAAAAAAAUAAAAAUAAAUCAGCAGCCGAGAAGAGGGGUUGGGGGUUGCUGGGGGAGUUGGGGUUGUAAAGUUUGUUCGGGUGAUGGGAGGAGUCUGAGGGACUGGCUGGGAGAAAGUAAAAGAAGCAGCCUGGGACAAAAACUUCAUUACCUGAUCAGUUGCAGACUGUGACGGAACAUCGCUCAUCUUUUACAACUGGAUACGGACAGACCGCACUGGACCACUGGCUACAAUGAGAGUGUUACAGGAAACAGAGGAUGCAACAAACAAUAGAAAGUUAAUAAAAUCUCAGGUGGAGAAACGCCGCAGGGAGAGGAUGAACCGCAGCCUGGAGCGUCUGAGGACCAUGCUGCAGGAACCUGAGCCACCGGGCGGGACUCAGCACAGGGUGGAGAAAGCUGAGAUACUCGAGCACACAGUCCUCUUCCUGCAGAACACCGCCAAAGGAGACAAGACAAGAGCUGGAGGUGGUGUCAUUGGUGGUGGGGGUGGUGGUGGACGAGGAGGCAAGAAACACUCUUUCCAGGACGGCUUCUCCACCUGCCUGCAGAAAGCUACUCAGUUCCUGGGACCCGAGGGGAAAGGCCUGUGGCUCGGAGCAGCCCUGAAUGCGUCUUUUGUUGCUCGCCUUUCCCGUCCAGACUCUGAUUCUGCAGGCGCCCAAAGAAGAACUGAAGCCCGUUCCUGCAGCUCUCUGCCACGCACAAAGUCCAUUCUUCGGAUGCUGAAGCAAAGGUCCAAGCAAAGACUGCAUACACGAGCGUUAAAUGCGCAUCCGUACCGGCUUCCAGCCCAGCAGGUGUCCCCCCAACAGGCUCAGAGACACAGUCAGGUUGAGGUCAGGGUGGAGAGCGGAGCAGGCAAACAGAGCCCGUCUCAGAGUUGCCCGAUCAACCAGACUUUGUGGAGGCCAUGGCCCUGAUCACCAGACAGUGGCCUCCUGAAACUGAACUUUUUAAAGACUCUAACAUUUGAUUAAUAUUCGCUGAUGCCAACUGUGCUGUUCCUGAAUGAAUAUUUGCAUUGCAUUGUGAACAACGACCUCUGGUCCUCUGAUAACUCCUAACAGUUUUGGUAUUCACACUCAAAGUCUGUAAAUAAUGUAAAAAAAAAAGUCAUUUGUGCAUGUGCUGUAUGUGUGAUAGGGUUGACUCACGACUCGCAGUCAGUGGGGCAGCCAUCUCUUCUGCCUGCAGGCGCAGGGACUCUCCCAGACUGGGACACACUGCUGCUGUGCUAAACAGCGAGUUCAGAGGUGUGGGACCUGAGGGUUCGAGGCUGGGAGAGCCCCAUGCAGCCCCUCACAGUCACCUGAGUGCCAUGAUGUCUGCGGGCAUUCAUGACACCUGUGUGUGUGUGAACAUCUUGUAUUCCAUAUAUCUUGUCUAUUUUGCACACUAAUUUAUUCUGGAUGUCUCCCUAUGGCGAGAACUAUUCUCUUUUUUAUAAUAAAAACUUUUCUUAAAACGUAAAAGCAUGGUGUCACUUGAUUAUUUUGGAUGCAGGCUGCAGGCCUUUUGUUUGUGCUGACGUUGACAGCUCUCUUUAGUUGGAGUCAGAGGUGUGAAGCAUGGCCUCCUGCAGAGCUGCAUCCUCCAGGUGUAAAGUCUGACCACGAGGAGAAAGAGUUUAGCAGCAGUUCUCACUUCAAAGACAUCAAAGAUAGCCCUGUUCACA
Epinephelus moara (kelp grouper) is the source of this 4357-nucleotide RNA transcript. It is a transcript of the gene named transcription factor HES-7.1-A-like, with no coding region annotated. The transcript is spliced from 4 exons. NCBI's taxonomy places the organism in Eukaryota, Metazoa, Chordata, Actinopteri, Perciformes, Serranidae. The record is from RefSeq and is a predicted model, not a curated record.